AGAGAGCAUGGCAAAGCCUGAGAAGGAAGCCUCUCUGAUUUGGGCUUCUGUUAGCAGAGCCACACCCAUUGGUGCUGACAGCGCAGCCCGCAGCUGACUCCCUCACAAGCUUUCUGCACUGCCGGGCACUGGGGGCAGCUGACUGCCAAUCACUGUCUCUUCACUUCCUGCUCUGCGGCUCUCAGCCCCGGCCCUGAGAGCAGACUGUUCCUGUCUGGAGUCAUUUCCCAGUGUAAAAAUGAGAAUUUCUGCUCUUCUGUUUUGCGACUACAUGAGAUGCUGAGAAGCAGAACGGGGCCAAACUGAACAGUACAGUGUGUGUAAGAUAGUCACAAAGUAAGGUAACAUCCCAAAAUGAAAAGACACCUAUCAAAACUUGACCCUCCUGACCUAGAGUUCCAACCUUUGGUGGUAAUAGAGCUAGCCAAAGAUGCAAAAGAGGAAACUAGAGAAUGGCUUGUCAAGAAAAUAAGGGACAAGAAGAAAGAUGGAGGUACCCAACUGCUGAUCAAACCGCUUGUCAUAUCAAAUGAUGAAGAAUACAUUUACGUUGUUGGUGGUUCCACAAAACGCCUGCUUCUAGGGGCAGAAUCUGUGGGAAUGGUGAAGGAAUGUAUUGAUGGCUCAAUGAAACCUUUCAUUUACAGUAAUCGUAAAGAAUAUAAAGAUUGGACAGAAGAUGGAGAGAAUUUCCUUAGCAUGGCAGAUUGUCAGUAUAUAAUAAAAUAUGAACUGGAUAAUCUUCGAGCUCAAGACGAGAAAAAUAUCCCUGGCUACCCAAAUUCAAAGCUUUAUCCUGGGAAGUCUAUUUUUAGGAGACUGAAAACCAGUGGAAUAAUGAUUCAAGUAUUUCCACUUCAUGAUAAGGAAGAGCUGAAAAGAUUAAGGCACCAGUGGUACCUCAGAAUCAAGCUUGCAUUUCAGCCAAUAGAUCAAAUCCAACACUACUUUGGUGACACACUAGGCUUGUAUUUCGCUUUCUUAGAAUAUUUUACAAUGGCCUUGAUUCCAAUGGCUCUCAUUGGUAUUCCCUACUAUUUUUUUGACUGGGAAGACUACGACAAGUAUGUGAUUUUUGCUACUUUCAACUUGGUGUGGUCAACUGUAAUCCUUGAAGUAUGGAAGCGAUUAAGUUCAGCCAUGACAUACAGAUGGGGCUCUCUGAUAAUGAAAAGAAAGUUUGAGGAGCCCAGACCGGGGUUUCAUGGUGUUCUGGGUAUUAAUCCUGUCACAGGAAGAAAGGAACCCAUUUACUCAAGUUUCAAAAGACAAUUGCGUAUAUAUCUGGUCUCUGUGCCAUUUGUGUGCGUUUGCCUUUACCUAGCCAUUUAUGUGAUGAUGAUCUAUUUUGAUUUGGAACACUGGGCCCUGGCAUACCACCAAGAGCAACAGUCAACUUUCAGCAACCUCCUUCUUUAUGUUCCCAGCAUCAUUUAUGCUGUUGUUAUUGAGAUCCUGAAUCGUAUCUACAAGAUUGCAGCUGAAUUCCUGACAUCAUGGGAAAAUCAUAGGUUAGAAUCUUCCUAUCAAAAUCACCUGGUGCUGAAGGUCUUGGUGUUCAACAUAGUGAAUUGCUUUGCAUCACUAUUCUACAUUGCCUUUGUUAUGUGUGAUAUGAAGCUGUUAAGACAGAGUUUGGCAACGCUGCUCAUCACUUCUCAGAUACUUAAUCAGUUUGUUGAAGCUUUGCUCCCUUACUGGUUACAAAAGAGAUCCAGCAGAAAAAUAAAGAAGAAAGUCAAAUCACUGAACGUGGACACAGAUUACACCUUGUUAGAACAGAUUCACUUGGAGAAAGACAUGGAUACUUAUUUGGGCACUUUUGAUGACUACUUGGAGCUCUUCUUACUGUUUGGCUAUGUGAGCUUGUUCUCCUGCGUUUAUCCUCUGGCAGCUAUAUUUGCAGUACUUAACAAUCUCACUGAGAUGUACUCAGAUGCAUUAAAAAUGUGCCGUGUCUACAAACGACCAUUUUCGCAACCUUCAGCCAACAUUGGAGUUUGGAUGCUGGCAUUUGAAACCAUGGGCAUUAUAGCAGUUGUUACCAACUGUACUCUUCUUGGAAUGUCUUCACAAGUUUCUACACUUUUUCAAGAUUCCAAGAGAGACCUUAUUUUAACUGUUGCAGCAAUAGAGCAUGCACUGCUAGCCCUGAAGUUUAUUUUGGCAUUUGUGAUCCCUGACAAACCAUAUGACAUCCAAGUAAAAUUAGCCAGGUUGGAAUUUGAGUCUAUGGAAGCUCUGAAGAAAAACCAGAUCAAAUUCUUACAUAUAUUUUAGAUUGAAGUGGACAUUUAGGCCACAUCCCUGAUAACCAAAGCCUAGCACAGCUCUGCUCUACCACAAUCCCAAUCACACAGAGGAACCCAACCCACUUUUAUGAGCAAAUGAAGCUUUCCUCUGAGUCACUUACAGACGAUGAAGCCAUGGAUUCUUAAAGGAAAUGGUUGUACAUUGGACUCGUUAUCUUCUCCAAAGAAUUUGUCCUUAAUUAAAGCUUGAGCCUAUUUGGGGCACCACUGCACUUCUCAGGGUGGCAGUUACUUGUCUUCAUUUCUGUCCCUCUGAAGGAUUUACACAUUGUGUUUGCAUUUUAUUACUGCUUACUAUUUAUAUUUUGUGUAGAAACCCUAUUUUUAAUGCUUUGCAUUUAGCUGUAAAUAUAUACUGAGACCACAGUACUCUGCCAGCAAAGAUACAGGAUUAUUUGGCCGGGGGUCAUAUUAUUUAGGACUUGUUAAUUCGAUACAUUAAUCAUCCUGUUUCAUAACCCAGUAUUAUUUAUUUCCAUCUUUAAUUCUGUAUUUUCUGAGGUUCAGAUUUUGUAAACCCCUUAUAAGGCCCUCAUUUAUCAUUAGGAACCACUCCAUACAUAUUUAUUUUCUGUUGACAAAGAACAAGCACAUUGAUUUGCCUUGGCCCAGUUUAAGCUAUAAUCCUGGGUACAAAGGCAACAAGGUCACUCUCACUUCUUUUCACCCAGAGCUAUGUGCCGGCAGUAUAUUAUGUCAGAUUACAACUUAGGCAGAACCUGUUCAGUGCUUUCAUUGUCAUAUUUUUAUUUCAAUAAUUACCUUAUAACAGUCUUGCUUUUAAACUGCUGUAUAACAAGAGCUGCCAUAGUGCCCUUUAUCCUAGGGGACUACUACAGGUAUGGGAUCCGUUAUCCAGAAACCCGAUAUCCAGAAAGCUCUGAAUUACGGAAAGCCUGUCUCCCAUAGACCCCAUUUUAAUCAAAUAAUUCAGAUUUUUAAAAUUGAUUUCCUUUUUCUCUGUAAAAAUAAAACAGUGCUUUGUAUUUGAUCCCAACUAAGAUAUAAUUAAUCCUUACUGGAUGUAAAAUAAUCCUAUUGGGUUUAAUUAAUGUUUUAUUGAUUUCUUAGUAGACUUAAGGUAUGGAGAUCCAAAUUACAGAAAGACCCCUUAUCAGGAAUACCCUUGGUCCCGAGCAUUCUGGAUAACGGGUCCUAUACCUGUACUAUAUUCUGUAUAAGGUUGGUCUCUAGAAUCCCAUAAAAUUCCUCCUUAAAAUCAAAAGGAAUGAACAUAAAGUGCACAGUUAUUCAUUUCAUGCCACAAAGCUGAGCCCCAGUAUAAAUCUGGGUCCCCAGGGUGGAGCGGGGGGGGAGGGGUCCCUGAUGGGCACAAAUCCUUCAUUUUUUCACCACCAACUCUUAAUUAGCUACUUAUUUUUUCUUCUUUUUUUUAAACUGUAUUAUUAAUCAGUGUUUCCUUAAUUACAAUUAUCUAAUACAAACCAAUGUGAAUAAGUGGGAGGGGCAAAUCAAUACAGAUUUAUUGUAUCUGCAUGUUAAAUAAAUGUCACACAUCAAUGGCUGA
Molecule: RNA transcript, 3840 nt
Organism: Xenopus tropicalis (tropical clawed frog)
Lineage: Eukaryota; Metazoa; Chordata; Amphibia; Anura; Pipidae
Gene: ano10
Gene name: anoctamin 10
Exons: 15
Source: RefSeq, a predicted model, not a curated record